GAUGAACGCUGGCGGCGUGCCUAAUACAUGCAAGUCGAGCGAACAGACGCGGAGCUUGCUCCUCUGACGUUAGCGGCGGACGGGUGAGUAACACGUGGAUAACCUACCUAUAAGACUGGGAUAACUUCGGGAAACCGGAGCUAAUCCCGGAUAAGAUAUUGCACCGCAUGGUUCAAUAGUAAGAGACGGUUGUUCUGUCACUUCUAGAUGGAUCUGCGCCGCAUUGGCUAGUUGGUAAGUUAACGGCUUACCAAGGCAACGAUGCGUAGCCGACCGGUUGGGGGGAUCGGCCACCUGGGAAGUGGGCCGGGGUCCAGGCGCCUGAGGGAGGCAGCAGUAGGGAAUCUGCGGCAGUAGGCGAAAGCCUGGCGGAGUAAGGCCGCGUGAGUGAUGAAGGUCUUCGGAUCGGAAAACCGUGUUAUUAGGGAAGAACAAAUGUGUAAGUAACUAUGCCCGUCGUGACGGUAACUGGUCAGAAAGCCACGGCUAACUACGUG
This 497-nucleotide ribosomal RNA is filed under the name uncultured bacterium. RNAcentral describes it as "partial 16S ribosomal RNA". It matches the Rfam family "Bacterial small subunit ribosomal RNA", at positions 28 to 507 of the family's 1533-position model. The record is from RNAcentral.